This is a long non-coding RNA of Ziziphus jujuba (common jujube), 2319 nucleotides long. RefSeq lists it as uncharacterized. NCBI's taxonomy places the organism in Eukaryota, Viridiplantae, Streptophyta, Magnoliopsida, Rosales, Rhamnaceae. The transcript is spliced from 5 exons. The record is from RefSeq and is a predicted model, not a curated record.
AAUUAAAUAUUUUUACCUUUUUUUUUUUUUUUUUUCCCUUCACCGGCCUUUCUCUUCUCCUUCAUCACCUUUCUCCCAAAGCUGGCUCACCUCUUCUCAUUCAUGAAGAUUUCUUCACUUAGUUGCCUUUUUUCCAAACAACCUGAUUUUAUCUCUCAGGUCACUAAAAUUCCAUACAUACCUGUUCAAUUUGAUAGUUCGGAAUUCGGAAUUAGGGUAUUGUGAAGAAAGAGAAUUUUAAAAGAAUUAGGGUAUUGCGUUGCCACCUCGUUACAAAAAAUUCCUUUUUCUUCCACGCAAUCCAAUACCCAAUAGCCCAAACCCCUCUCCAUCAUCUUUUCGUUUCCUCUACCUUUUGUUUUUUUAAGAAAAAAAAAACAUUACAUUACUCAAAAAUUUAAUUUAAUAUCCUUUUUCAACCUUCUCGUUGUUAUUUCUUUUUGUUCCUUUGGUGUUUCUUCAACCCUUGUUUUAUGUUUCCGCGAACCAGAGAAUCAGCCAAACUGUUUUUCUAGAUUGUUAAGGCUUCAGAAGAAGCUGCGUACGUCAGAGACCUCUCAGAUGAUUUGCUGCAGCCAACUACAAAACGGUCUCACAAUGUCUCAACCAAGGAAGUCAUAUUCUGGAAAAUUUUUAAGUGCCAACAAUUGAAGUGUUCCCUGCAGCUGCUCUAACACCUGCACUAGCAGCACCAGAGAUGAGAAUGAAUGAGUGACUGAGGGAGGAAUCAGAAGCCCUUUGUUGGAGAACCCGAAUAUAUCCCCCUAGAAAGGCUUGCCAGACAAGGCAUCAACAACAAGAUUUUCAUUUGGUUGGGUAGGUUCUUCCAUGUGGUACUGUCAAAUAGCUGGUGAAAAUCUGAGAGUUUCGAUAUGUUUGCCUGCAUUUGGGAAGCUUCAUAAAAAAGUAUUGCAGAUGCCUUCUGUGGGUUUGGGUUAUCAAAUGUUGAACUAAGCGAGCUUGUCUUGUCCUGUGCUCCCUUUUUGCUUUGUAUAAACAUUCUUUUUGGAAAAAAGGAAUAUAUAUAUUUAGGAAUCAAUUUCUAAAAUGAUUAAUAGGAAGAGUAACUCUUGGAAUCCGUCAUUUCUAUUACAAUAGGUAUGACUCAAAAUUUGAUAUGCAGCAAUAUUUGGUGGUGAUUAUACUGAAUGUAUCAUUUUUUUAGGACAAUGACCAAGAUUUUUUCUUGCAGUCUUGAUAUUACAGAUAAUAAAUUCAAACCAUGCCAUGGGCAGCGAUUCUUGAAAAAGUUGUCCAAUUACAAAGUUUGCAACAGCUUUGUGUGGUUAAGGAUCUUUCUGCUCAUGAUGUGGUGAUGCAAUUGAUGCAGAAGGAAAACUACUUGAUCGGAAUGCUUAAAAAGGGAGUACUUGCAUUUCCAAUCUCAAAAUGGGUCCCUGGUGCUGGUCCAACUGUCAAAUCUGGUUCAAAGGGAAAGUGCCGUCGUUUGAUACUGACUAAAACCCUUGAGUGGACCUUAAAUUGGUGCAUACUACAGAGCAUGUUUGAUAGUGGAGUUGGAAGGUUUGAAAAAAGCACACAUUCGAGAUGGCGUUGCAGUGGUGCAAUAUCUUGUCUGGUUGGAUAAGCAGGAGAUAUAUGGGGUUUCUGGUUACUUCUUGGAAGGAGACGAAGUGACUAAGAAAAAGCAAUUGUAAGUUCAUUUUUUGUUUUUCGUUUUUUUUUUUUUUUUUUUUUGGUUUUUUUAGGUUGUUAUGCAACAUCUAACAUUUGAUUGAGAUACCAGUUGAGAUGUAUUGUGGCCUAAAUAUUUCCUGAAAGAGGAAUGUAAAAAGACAUAAACCGUAUCAGACAAUUUGUCAGUACACAACUUGUGUAUAUUUCUAUGUGUUUGCAUGCAAUGCUCUGCUUGUGCAGUUUCAAUACACACUAAUCAAAUAAUGAUGGAAUGAUUGCAAGCAUGGCAAAUUUCACCAUAUAAAGAUAAAUAAAGUGUUUUCCAUUUCAAAUGAACUUUGACAUGGAUAUGCUAAUUCCUACUUUAGCAACCACUUUCAAAAGCUAGCAUGACAUUCGAUGCAUAACAAAUUCCAAUAUAUCAAGAGAAAUAAAGGGUUGUCCACUUUUAAAAUGAACUUUGACAUGGAUAUGUUAAUUCCUACUUUAUUAACUACUUUCAAAUGUUCUUGUUAAAAAGUGAUAUAGUUGAAAAUGCUAUACUGCAGUAAGUGCUAAUCUAUUUUGUUUUUCCUUUUUAUUAUCAUUAUUAUUAUUAUAUUUUUUUGAGUCUUGCAAAGUAAUUUUGUUUGCUUUAUUUUGCAAGUCCUCAAGGGUCAUAUUGAACUUGGGAAUGCUCAA